This 486-nucleotide ribosomal RNA is filed under the name uncultured bacterium. RNAcentral's name for it is "partial 16S ribosomal RNA". It matches the Rfam family "Bacterial small subunit ribosomal RNA", at positions 28 to 507 of the family's 1533-position model. The record is from RNAcentral.
GACGAACGCUGGCGGCGUGCUUAACACAUGCAAGUCGAACGCUGAAGACCUGGCUUUUGUUGGGUUGGAUGAGUGGCGAACGGGUGAGUAACACGUGAGUAACCUGCCCUCUUCUUUGGGAUAACGCCCAGAAACGGGUGCUAAUACUGGAUAUUCACUGAUCUUCGCAUGGGGGUUGGUGGAAAGGUUUGUUCUGGUGGGGGAUGGGCUCGCAGCCUAUCAGCUUGUUGGUGGGGUGAUGGCCUACCAAGGCUUUGACGGGUAGCCGGCCUGAGAGGGUGACCGGUUACAUUGGGACUGAGAUACGGCCCAGACUCCUACGGGAGGCAGCAGUGGGGAAUAUUGCACAAUGGGCGAAAGCCUGAUGCAGCGACGCCGCGUGAGGGAUGGAGGCCUUCGGGUUGGAAACCUCUUUCGCUCAUGGUCAAGCCGCAACUGUGGGUUGUGGUGAGGGUAGUGGGUAAAGAAGCGCCGGCUAACUACGUG